This 95-nucleotide non-coding RNA is filed under the name Ezakiella coagulans. RNAcentral's name for it is "Bacteroides coagulans Glycine riboswitch aptamer". It matches the Rfam family "Glycine riboswitch aptamer". From Rfam's summary of the family: This family represents the bacterial glycine riboswitch. Glycine riboswitches usually consist of two metabolite-binding aptamers domains with similar structures in tandem. The record is from Rfam by way of RNAcentral. Lineage: Bacteria; Bacillati; Bacillota; Tissierellia. RNAcentral also lists the same sequence under 1 other name.
UGAUUUUAAACGGGAGAGACCGCUACAUGUAGUGGCGCCGAAGGUAUAAUAAGUAAAACUUAGAAGGACUCAGGCAAAAGGACCGUUUGAGGGAC